CCCCAGCCCCUAGUCCCGGACCGCUAGGCUUCCCGCUCCGCAUCCCUGUUCCGCCCACCCUAGCAUACACUAACGGCGUCCGAACCGACCCAGGGGCCUGCUGCGCCCCCACCUUCGUCCCCAACGCUCCUCAGAGGUGGCUCCGGCCUCGCUAGCGACCCCCUCACCCCCAGGGAAGAAACACAUUCUGGUGCUUAGCGAGCUGCGCGCCGAGGACGCCGGUGAAGUCCGCUUCCAGGCGGGGCCCGCCCAGUCCCUGGCUCUACUGGAAGUGGAGGCAUUGCCUCUCCAGAUGUGCCGCCACCCCCCUCGCGAGAAGACCGUUCUGGUGGGCCGCCGGGCGGUGCUGGAGGUGACUGUGUCCCGCUCGGGGGGCCACGUGUGCUGGCUGCGGGAGGGGGCCGAGCUGUGCCCGGGAGAUAAGUAUGAGAUGCGCAGCCACGGCCCCACCCACAGCCUGGUCAUCCAUGACGUUCGACCUGAGGACCAAGGCACUUACUGCUGCCAGGCCGGCCAGGACAGCACCCACACACGGCUGCUGGUAGAGGGUAACUAGGAGGACCUAACCAGACCAGGCGGGUGCCCUUGGACAGCUUGGAAGGCGUUUGCCCUUACCGUGGGCAGGGGUAGAGAGACAAGGAACAAUAAAAGUGCUACAGCUC
RNAcentral lists this small RNA (662 nucleotides) under Pan troglodytes (chimpanzee). RNAcentral's name for it is "retained intron". Lineage: Eukaryota; Metazoa; Chordata; Mammalia; Primates; Hominidae. The record is from RNAcentral.